Molecule: ribosomal RNA, 303 nt
Filed under: uncultured bacterium
Lineage: Bacteria
Description: partial 16S ribosomal RNA
Rfam family: Bacterial small subunit ribosomal RNA
Source: RNAcentral
AGCAGUCGCCGCGGGAAAACAGAGGGUGCAAGCGUUAAUCGGAAUUACUGGGCGUAAAGCGCGCGUAGGUGGUUUGUUAAGUUGGAUGUGAAAUCCCCGGGCUCAACCUGGGAACUGCAUCCAAAACUGGCAAGCUAGAGUAUGGUAGAGGGUGGUGGAAUUUCCUGUGUAGCGGUGAAAUGCGUAGAUAUAGGAAGGAACACCAGUGGCGAAGGCGACCACCUGGACUGAUACUGACACUGAGGUGCGAAAGCGUGGGGAGCAAACAGGAUUAGAUACCCCUGUAGUCCCUGUCUCUUAUAA